AGUGAACGCUGGCGGGAGGCUUAACACAUGCAAGUCGAACGGCAGCACAGUAAGAGCUUGCUCUUACGGGUGGCGAGUGGCUGACGGGUGAGUAAUACAUCGGAAUCUACUUUUUCGUGGGGGAUAACGUAGGGAAACUUACGCUAAUACCGCAUACGACCUACGGGUGAAAGCAGGGGAUCUUCGGACCUUGCGCGAUUGAAUGAGCCGAUGUCGGAUUAGCUAGUUGGCGGGGUAAAGGCCCACCAAGGCGACGAUCCGUAGCUGGUCUGAGAGGAUGAUAGGCCGCACUGGAACUGAGCCACGGUCCAGAGUCCUACGGGAGGGCGCAGUGGGGAAUAUUGGCCAAUGGGCGCAAACAUGAUCCAGCCAUACCGCGUGGGUGGAGAAGGCCUUCGGGUUGUAAAGCCCUUUUGUUGGGAGAGAAAAGCAGCAGGUUGAUACCCCGCUGUUCUGACGGUACCCAAAGAAUAAGCACCGGCUAACUUCGUG
RNAcentral lists this ribosomal RNA (492 nucleotides) under uncultured bacterium. RNAcentral's name for it is "partial 16S ribosomal RNA". It matches the Rfam family "Bacterial small subunit ribosomal RNA", at positions 29 to 507 of the family's 1533-position model. The record is from RNAcentral.